CUCAUGGCGGCCCUGUAUGCUGCUAUUCCCCAAUCUAUCUUUUGGCCUACACAUAGAAAAACUCUCAUCAAAACUUUAUCCAAAACUAGGUGCCCUGUACAGAAACAAAUCCUGCCUAAGCCCUACAUUAAAGGAAAAGAUUGUACAGCAAAUGCUGAUGCCAUUCAUUGAUUAUGGGGAUGUAGUAUAUGCACUAGCACCGCAAUCCCACAUUAAUAAACUGAAAACAUUAUAACCUGUUCUGCCGAUUUGUGCUACAAUGUAAUUACAUGACCCACCAUUGUGACAUGCUAAAAGAACUAAACUGGCUGCCGCUGGAAUCCAGACGCACCCUUCAUCUUUCCAGCCUUGUGUUUAAGAGCUUUUCUGCAUUUUAUUGUACCCUAUUCUGCAGAGUUUGUGGACAUACUUGAAAAGAAGAGAAAUCUCAAUGUAUCCUUCCUGGUAAAAUAUUUUAUAAAUAAAUAUUUGUAAUGGGUACUCUCAAGACCCAUACUAGAUUGUAAGCUUGUUUGUGCAGGUUCCUCAUAAACCUACUGUUUAUGUAACAUUUUUAAAUUGUCUCAUUUAUUGUUAAAUUUCCCCCUUUAUGCUAUUGAGAAGCUUUGCGGAAUAAGUUGGUGCGAUACAAAUGCUAAUAAUAAUACCUCUGUCCUCCUCUCCCCCCCCUUUCGGGCAAACUAGGAGUUAAGGUAAUAUUUUAGCUGAACUGUGCUCUUUGUGAGCGAUUCAGUUGCUGCUUGCUUGCUUUUGUAACGCUGACUUCACC
This is a non-coding RNA of Pelobates cultripes (western spadefoot toad), 769 nucleotides long. NCBI's taxonomy places the organism in Eukaryota, Metazoa, Chordata, Amphibia, Anura, Pelobatidae. The record is from the annotation of a GenBank genome assembly.